ACGAGCGCAACCCUUGUCCUUAGUUACCAGCACGUUAUGGUGGGCACUCUAGGGAGACUGCCGGUGACAAACCGGAGGAAGGUGGGGACGACGUCAAGUCAUCAUGGCCCUUACGGCCAGGGCUACACACGUGCUACAAUGGUGCAUACAGACGGUUGCCAAGCCGCAAGGUGGAGCUAAUCUGAGAAAGUGCAUCGUAGUCCGGAUUGGGGUCUGCAACUCGACCCCAUGAAGUCGGAAUCGCUAGUAAUCGUGAAUCAAAAUGUCACGGUGAAUACGUUCCCGGGCCUUGUACACACCGCCCGU
This 306-nucleotide ribosomal RNA is filed under the name uncultured Gammaproteobacteria bacterium. RNAcentral's name for it is "bacterial SSU rRNA". It matches the Rfam family "Bacterial small subunit ribosomal RNA", at positions 1092 to 1397 of the family's 1533-position model. The record is from RNAcentral. Lineage: Bacteria; Pseudomonadati; Pseudomonadota; Gammaproteobacteria.